AUUGAACGCUGGCGGCAGGCUUAACACAUGCAAGUCGAACGAGUGGCGGACGGGUGAGUAAUGCUUGGGAAUCUAGCUUAUGGAGGGGGAUAACUACGGGAAACUGUAGCUAAUACCGCGUACCAUAGGAUGAGCCCAAGUGGGAUUAGGUAGUUGGUGAGGUAAAGGCUCACCAAGCCGACGAUCUCUAGCUGGUCUGAGAGGAUGACCAGCCAGACUGGGACGGAGACACGGCCCAGAAUCCUACGAGAGGCAGCAGUGGGGAAGAUUGCACAAUGGGCGCAAUCCUUAUACAGCCAUGCCGCGUGUAUGAAGGAGGCCUUCGGGUAGUAAAGUACUUUCAGUCGGGAGGCGUUACCGACAGAAGAAGCACCGGCUAACUCCGUGCCAGGAGCCGCGGUAAUAC
This 406-nucleotide ribosomal RNA is filed under the name uncultured bacterium. Its description in RNAcentral is "partial 16S ribosomal RNA". It matches the Rfam family "Bacterial small subunit ribosomal RNA", at positions 30 to 526 of the family's 1533-position model. The record is from RNAcentral.